GCGAGGGUACUGGCUUAGCGACAGUGUCUGGCAGCGAGGGCACUGGCUUAGUGUCAGAGUUUAGUGCCAUCACUACCGCUGUGUAUGAUACUGUUCAGUGUGUGUGAUACUAACAGUGGCGUGUGGGAGCUUCACUCUAACCUACUCUUGUUUUCUAAGUAAACGCCAGUGCAACAACAUCCUUCUCAGGAUUCAGUGAUACAUCAGUGAAUAUCUGAUCCAAACCUUCAUCAGACUCAGUGUUGACAAUGGGGAGCAUGGCUUGGCUCAGGAAUGAUGUGUUGUCGUUCCUGCCAGACCUCAUCACCUACACGACACUCACAUUAGUCGUCGCCAUCGUACUGCCAUGGCUCAUCAGGAGGCAGCGGAAGGUAUCUGCAGAUUUUUAAAUACA
Cherax quadricarinatus is the source of this 394-nucleotide non-coding RNA. NCBI's taxonomy places the organism in Eukaryota, Metazoa, Arthropoda, Malacostraca, Decapoda, Parastacidae. The record is from RefSeq and is a predicted model, not a curated record.